Molecule: long non-coding RNA, 254 nt
Filed under: Ananas comosus (pineapple)
Lineage: Eukaryota; Viridiplantae; Streptophyta; Magnoliopsida; Poales; Bromeliaceae
Description: long non-coding RNA (ACOM_LNC011561)
Source: RNAcentral
AAUAUUGCAACGGACGGUUCAUUGCUUCAUUAAUGAAAAUAGAAAAGUUCAUUGCUUAUAUAUUUGCUUCAUUAAUGAAAAAAUUGCAACGGAAGGGAGGAAAAAAUGACUCGAAUAGGGGAGGGGAAACGUUGAGGCGGUUUGGUUUAGAGAUUUAGAGACGUGGAUUGGUUUAAAAGAAGAUUAGUGAAAGUGAAGGAAAAAUUGCCACGUGGCAAAAGCUAUUGGGGAUUCAUAUAGUUUAAUAGAUAUAU